Molecule: ribosomal RNA, 252 nt
Filed under: uncultured bacterium
Lineage: Bacteria
Description: partial 16S ribosomal RNA
Rfam family: Bacterial small subunit ribosomal RNA
Source: RNAcentral
UACGGAGGGUGCAAGCGUUAUCCGGAUUCACUGGGUUUAAAGGGUGUGUAGGCGGGUAUUUAAGUCAGUGGUGAAAUCUCCGAGCUCAACUCGGAAACUGCCAUUGAUACUAUUUAUCUUGAAUAUUGUUGAGGUAGGCGGAAUAUGUCAUGUAGCGGUGAAAUGCUUAGAUAUGACAUAGAACACCGAUUGCGAAGGCAGCUUGCUAAACAAUUAUUGACGCUGAGGCACGAAAGCGUGGGAUCAAACAGG